RNAcentral lists this unclassified non-coding RNA (290 nucleotides) under uncultured fungus. RNAcentral describes it as "partial contains 5.8S rRNA, ITS2 and 28S rRNA". It matches the Rfam family "Eukaryotic large subunit ribosomal RNA", at positions 668 to 961 of the family's 3401-position model. Lineage: Eukaryota; Fungi. The record is from RNAcentral.
AAGGAGUCUAACAUCUAUGCGAGUGUUUGGGUGUCAAGCCCAGACGCGUAAUGAAAGUGAACGGAGGUGGGAACCUUUUAGGAGCACCAUCGACCGAUCCUGAUGUCUUCGGAUGGAUUUGAGUAAGAGCAUAGCUGUUGGGACCCGAAAGAUGGUGAACUAUGCUUGAAUAGGGUGAAGCCAGAGGAAACUCUGGUGGAGGCUCGCAGCGGUUCUGACGUGCAAAUCGAUCGUCAAAUUUGGGUAUAGGGGCGAAAGACUAAUCGAACUAUCUAGUAGCUGGUUCCUGC